GAUGAACGCUGGCGGCGUGCCUAAUACAUGCAAGUCGAGCGAACGGACGAGAAGCUUGCUUCUCUGAUGUUAGCGGCGGACGGGUGAGUAACACGUGGAUAACCUACCUAUAAGACUGGGAUAACUUCGGGAAACCGGAGCUAAUACCGGAUAAUAUUUUGAACCGCAUGGUUCAAAAGUGAAGGACGGUCUUGCUGCCACUUAUAGAUGGAUCCGCGCUGCAUUAGCUAGUUGGCAAGGUAACGGCUUACCAAGGCAACGAUGCAUAGCCGACCUGAGAGGGUGAUCGGCCACACUGGAACUGAGACACGGUCCAGACUCCUACGGGAGGCAGCAGUAGGGAAUCCUCCGCAAUGGGCGAAAGCCUGACGGAGCAACGCCGCGUGAGUGAUGAAGGUCUUCGGAUCGUAAAACUCUGUUAUUAGGGAAGAACAUAUGUGUAAGUAACUGUGCACAUCUUGACGGUACCUAAUCAGAAAGCCACGGCUAACUACGUG
RNAcentral lists this ribosomal RNA (497 nucleotides) under uncultured bacterium. RNAcentral describes it as "partial 16S ribosomal RNA". It matches the Rfam family "Bacterial small subunit ribosomal RNA", at positions 28 to 507 of the family's 1533-position model. The record is from RNAcentral.